Schistosoma rodhaini is the source of this 45-nucleotide non-coding RNA. NCBI's taxonomy places the organism in Eukaryota, Metazoa, Platyhelminthes, Trematoda, Strigeidida, Schistosomatidae. The record is from Rfam.
AUCCAGUUGACGAGUCCCAAAUAGGACGAAACACGCGUCCUGGAU